Long non-coding RNA from Mustela lutreola (European mink), 1774 nucleotides. RefSeq lists it as uncharacterized. Lineage: Eukaryota; Metazoa; Chordata; Mammalia; Carnivora; Mustelidae. The transcript has 3 exons. The record is from RefSeq and is a predicted model, not a curated record.
GAAGGGCACACCACGUGUGGGGCUUGGGGGAGGGGAGUAGAAUGUUCCAGAAGCCGGUGGGAGAAGGCCAUUCCAGGAGGCAGUCUGAGCCAGGCUGGGGGUGCUGGGGAACGCUGUUGUCGCAGUGGCGGGGCCAUCACGGACAGGUGGGAAAGCGAGCAGACAGACAGAAGGCUGGUGCAGAGACAGAGAGAGGGACGCCGGUCUGGGCAGACGAAGCGGCUGAGGCUUACGGGAGUGAAGCCGCUGCUUGUGGCCACACAGUAUGGGAGCAGCAGUGCCAGGAGUUCAGCCGAGGUCCUUCUGACUGCAGUCGCACUCGGCGUAGGGCAAUGACAGAGGGGAAACCCAGUUCACUGUGGAAGGGAAAGGGGAGGUUCUGGUGGUUUCUGCCCGGGCACCGUGGAGGAUGGAGGCAGUGGGUAACUCGGGGGGGGGUGGGCAGGCAGGCAGGAGAAGGAGCUUGGACCGAGUUUGGCCAGGACCAAUCGAAAACUGGAUGCCAGCAAAAUACCGUGGGUGGUGUUUGUGACGGGAGCUACACGCCCAAGGAAAAAUGGAUUCCUUGAGGGAGCACUAUUGCCUUUUUAAAUAACUUUUAAAAUGGAAAGGACAGAAACAAGUUUGGAACUAAGGAAAGGUGACGAACGUGCGCGGUCAUUGACUCAGGGAGCAGAGACCUUCCAGAACAGAGUCAAGAGCGUGGGCUGCUUGGAAGGACCCAGCUUGAAGAAGACCAAGAUAAAAAAGGACGAAGCCACUGAUGACCUUACAAUUCUUCUGGGAAACAUUUAUUUGCCGUUCUUUAUCUCCAGCCUCCUUCCUCUCUCAGCCCAGACCCACAGUUCCGCUCACCUUCUCCUGGACGGAUUCCCCUGUCUAUUCUGCGGGGAGCUCCAACUUGACAUACCCCAGAGCUGCCUCCUUCCUCCGUCCCUCCGCUCCAGCCCCCACACAGACAGACAGGCAGACAGACACCAGACUCACUCACCUGUUCCCCCACCCUCCUCGGUUACACCACCAUCCACCCCAACUGACUAUCGUUCCAGAAUCUUCCCCUCCCUCACCCGAUGCACAUGUGGACGAUCCUUUAAAUAUCUCAUUGACUAAACGACCCUUUAUAUAUCUCACUGACUCAUCUCUCCUCUCCAACCUUGAGGCUACAGCCUUAGUCAGACCUCCCUUAUCUCUUAUCUAGACCGACUCACCACCACUCAACCCACCACCUUCCCGCGCCAAACCCAUCCUCCACACCUUCGCCGACUCCGAAUGCCUUUGGACCAUUUGACUCACACCUAACACCCUGCUCCCAUUCUUGCCAGAGUCAAGUCUAACUUCUUUAAAACACGGCAAAUAAUGAGAUGAGAACCAUCUGUGCGUGUAUGUAGUAACUCACUUCAUUCAUUCAAAUUAUUUCCUUGGGAUAAAUUCCCAGACUUGAAGGUUAUGGGAUCUCGUUUGGUAUCCACACAUCUGGGACUGGGCACUAAUUCACCUCCCACCUACCUGCCCCCAUUCUUCUCCAUUGAAAAAUAUGUUCAUAUUUGUGCCCUGACUCUGCUUGCACUUUUUUCCUCUUCUCUUUUAAGUCAGGUCCCGGUUAUUUUCUUUAUUGACAAAAAAUUAUUUUAAUUUUAAAGCGGUAUGUGUUUAAGCACUUCCCUUCUUCUGGUUUCUUGUCUGUGUUUUCAUUUUACUUUUACACUCAUAUUGCUUCAGGUUGCAGAAAGGUUUUUUCUAACAGGCAGGCAUUUCACGGGUUUUGCAAAGUGGC